UACGUAGGGUGCAAGCGUUAAUCGGAAUUACUGGGCGUAAAGCGUGCGCAGGCGGUUCGUCGUGUCCGAUGUGAAAGCCCCGGGCUCAACCUGGGAAUGGCAUUGGAAACUGGCGGACUCGAGUGUGGCAGAGGGGGGUGGAAUUCCGCGUGUAGCAGUGAAAUGCGUAGAGAUGCGGAGGAACACCGAUGGCGAAGGCAGCCCCCUGGGCUAACACUGACGCUCAGGCACGAAAGCGUGGGGAGCAAACAGG
Molecule: ribosomal RNA, 253 nt
Filed under: uncultured bacterium
Lineage: Bacteria
Also listed under: 1 other name
Description: partial 16S ribosomal RNA
Rfam family: Bacterial small subunit ribosomal RNA
Source: RNAcentral